Molecule: long non-coding RNA, 377 nt
Organism: Cygnus olor (mute swan)
Lineage: Eukaryota; Metazoa; Chordata; Aves; Anseriformes; Anatidae
Exons: 2
Source: RefSeq, a predicted model, not a curated record
AGAGUUCAGAAGUAGUUAACUCAGAAGAGAAAUGUGCCAUCUUCGAACUCUCACUAAGAAGUCCUUUUCUCUGUUCUCCAAAUCAGAUGUGUACAGAAGCGUAAGAAGUUGUUUCCAUCAGUUCUAGAAGAGUUUCAUAUAGCUUUCAAGCAUGUCCUUUAGAAUAAUCACAGUAGUUACUAAGGAAAAGAGAAAAUAAGGCUACACGUCUGCCUGUGAUUAACAUUGUCCUGUACUAUUUUCGGUUGUAGAUCUUGUAUUUUUACUUAAAAGUUCAUCUGUAUGAUGUCUCUUUGUCGGGGCAAACUACUCAGGUUCAUGUACUUCCUUCUUCUUAAAAGCUGUGAAAUCAGUAAUAAUUUCAUUUUAAAGUAAAA